Molecule: ribosomal RNA, 251 nt
Filed under: uncultured bacterium
Lineage: Bacteria
Description: partial 16S ribosomal RNA
Rfam family: Bacterial small subunit ribosomal RNA
Source: RNAcentral
UACGGAGGGUGCAAGCGUUAUCCGGAUUCACUGGGUUUAAAGGGUGCGUAGGCGGAUUUUUAAGUCCGUGGUGAAAUCUCCGAGCUUAACUCGGAAACUGCCAUGGAUACUAUAAGUCUUGAAUGUUGUGGAGGUUUGCGGAAUAUGUCAUGUAGCGGUGAAAUGCUUAGAUAUGACAUAGAACACCAAUUGCGAAGGCAGCUGGCUACACAAAUAUUGACGCUGAUGCACGAAAGCGUGGAUCAAACAGG